ACCCACCUCAGAAUAUACUCCCGUAUCAAGGUAUGCGCGAGAGAUCAUCUUACUGGGCACAAGAGCAAGUCAUUUGUGAUAGAAUCACUUAUUGAGGAUAGACUUGACUCCCGCAAGAUUUUGAGGGACAUGUGAUUGUUUAUCACUUAUUCGGGUCGGGUGCAUCAUGUAUUGAAGAAAUUUACACGUAUUUAUGGUAUCAUGGAAGAUCUAGACUUGCGUCCCCGUUGUUUUCGGUAAAAGAAGCAACCAUGAUACCCAGAUGAUAAACAGCAUAAAGACCACGUAUCUCAGAACCUCGGCAAUCUAUCAAACGAAAUUACGGUACCAAGACCAUAUAUCCGAGAGAUGCGCCACACGAGUUACGCAGUUCAUUAUGUUUAUAUACCAAAGACAGGUUCUUAUUUACGCGUAAAACCUACCGAUGCAACGUAUAAUGAAGCUGUCACAUUUA
Molecule: long non-coding RNA, 454 nt
Filed under: Helianthus annuus (common sunflower)
Lineage: Eukaryota; Viridiplantae; Streptophyta; Magnoliopsida; Asterales; Asteraceae
Source: RNAcentral